RNAcentral lists this long non-coding RNA (1523 nucleotides) under Heterocephalus glaber (naked mole-rat). RNAcentral describes it as "lncRNA (ENSHGLG00000035776.1)". Lineage: Eukaryota; Metazoa; Chordata; Mammalia; Rodentia; Bathyergidae. The record is from RNAcentral.
UCUCUAGUGAAUCACAGAAGCUUAGAUAAUCUUGGGGAUUCCUGAUAGUUCCAAAAAAAAGUAAUGUAAAUAUAGACUUCCCUCUCCCUUCUAUAGUGUAGAUCUGUCAUUUCACUUUGUCAUAGGUAACUCUUUUUUGCCUAUCCAAGACCCUUGACCAAUAGUGAACUUUGCCAUUUUCCUGGCUUGGUACAUGCAUUUCUUUUAAUCUUCUUUUCUAGAAUUGAGUACUCUUGGAGCAUCCGUAUUUUAUGUAGGUAAUUCCUCUAAUUAUUGAGGAGGUGUUUUAAAAUUUUUGAAUAGUAUUGUCAAAUGAUGAGUAGAUUAUUUUUGCUAGACUCAAAAUAAUUGAAUUUCAUUUCAUUGCUUUGUUAGUGAAUAUUGCCUGAAGAAUAUCUGCCUUUGGUGGCUCAGGAACUUGUAGCCCAGCUACAGAAUAACUCCAGUUUGGCGUCCGGUCACAACUGAGACUUCAGUGAUCCAGUGAUGCUGUGAUUUUCCAGGACAAGAAACAUCCUGGGAGCUGAAAACAUCCUGGGAGAACAAACAUCUGCUCAGUUCCUCAUUGUUCUUAGAUUUCCACUGCCCCCCAUCCUUUUGUUACACCUUGUUAAUCCCAAUGUGAACUAUUGAACUCUAUAUUUCAUUUGUUGCAUUUAUUUCUCCCGACGUACUGAAUAAAAGGUGUGGUAAGCCGGGGGCUUUUGUCUUUGCUGCCCUGAGCAGCACUGAUCAGACCCAAAGCUCAGCUUCUUCUCAGUCUCAUUUUUCUACCUUUCCUGUAAUUCAUCGUGUGCUGCCAUGGCUCGCAGGAGACCAGGACUCACUGCAGAGGUUCUGGUAAUGUCCCCUUCCCCUGUUCCCUACACAUAAACGCCCUACUUUCAACCAAGCAGGCUAUGAAUCUCUCUCCAGGACUCAUUCUUUGCUGUCACCAGACAUUGUACAUAAGUAAAGUAUUAUACUGUGCGUGAACAUCACCAAGAAGUGGUUGAAAAUUACAUGCAUGAGCCAUAAUGUAAUUCACCAUUUUUGUGACAUCUUUGAGGAUAUUGUCUAAUUUUUUAUUGCUUUCUCUAGAACAAAGAGGUUCUUGAUGUAUAAUACAAUGAAACUCAAUGGUUCUUUUGCUUCUUUAACAAAGAACUGUACAAAACCAGAUGUUGCCCCACAAUACAGGGUGUCCCAUCACUAGUAAUUGAAACCACUUUAUCUGGACUUAUGUCUUGUGACAAAAAAGCCUCCAUAACAACACUGUAGAUACUGAUCCCUGUGUUCUUCCAGGCAAAGACACCAGUUUCACUAGGUCUUCUUUCAUGAUGUCACCAACAGCAUAACAUAAAAUUACUGCUACCCUUGCAAGAUUAUUAUCUGUGCUUUCAUCCAAGCACAUGGCUGCCUUUUGUAAGUCAGUGGUGAGCUGCUGACUAACACCACUUGGUAUACACAGAACUUGAUCUUUAACAGUAUCUGAGCUAAGUGGCAUCUCAGAGAUGCAUUGCAUAAUUUUACCUUGUUCGGGA